GCCAGCAUGGUGUAGUGGUUUAAGCAUUGGAUGAUGACUCUGGAGACCAAGGUUCAAAUCCUAGUUCUGCCA
RNAcentral lists this transfer RNA (72 nucleotides) under Phrynosoma platyrhinos (Desert horned lizard). Its description in RNAcentral is "tRNA-OTHER". Lineage: Eukaryota; Metazoa; Chordata; Lepidosauria; Squamata; Phrynosomatidae. The record is from RNAcentral.